UAAAGGUACUUGCGUCCCGUCCCAAGGCAGAAUGUGGUAAAACCCGUCGCAGCAAAGGAGGGCGCCUUCCAGAGAUCCUGGGAGAGGUGAAAUUCCUAUGA
This 101-nucleotide non-coding RNA is filed under the name human gut metagenome. RNAcentral's name for it is "pemK RNA". It matches the Rfam family "pemK RNA". The record is from RNAcentral.